Molecule: non-coding RNA, 1041 nt
Organism: Callithrix jacchus (white-tufted-ear marmoset)
Lineage: Eukaryota; Metazoa; Chordata; Mammalia; Primates; Cebidae
Source: RefSeq, a predicted model, not a curated record
CUGCUCAGUCCUCCUUGCCUGCCACCCGUGCACCCAGUCAGCUCAGCCAGCCUAGUCCAUCCAGUUUUCACUGCCUGCCGGCUGGCCCACCCCCCACCGCAGCCAUGGAUGCCAUCAAGAAGAUGAUGCAGAUGCUGAAGCUGGACAAGGAGAACGCCAUCGAUCGCGCCGAGCAGGCCGAAGCUGACAAGAAGCAAGCUGAGGAUCGCUGCAAGCAGCUGGAGGAGGAGCAGCAGGCCCUCCAGAAGAAGCUGAAGGGGACAGAGGAUGAAGUGAAAAAGUAUUCUGAAUCCGUGAAGGAGGCCCAGGAGAAACUGGAGCAGGCUGAGAAGAAGGCCACUGAUGCUGAGGCAGAUGUGGCCUCCCUGAACCGCCACAUUCAGCUGGUAGAGGAGGAGCUGGACCAGGCCCAGGAGUGCCUGGCUACAGCCCUGCAGAAGCUGGAGGAGGCUGAGAAGGCAGCUGAUGAGAGCAAGAGAGGAAUGAAGGUCAUCGAAAACCAGGCCAUGAAGGACGAGGAGGAGAUGGAGCUGCAGGAGAUGCAGCUGAAAGAGGCCAAGCACAUCACUGAGGAUUCAGACUACAAAUACGAGGAGGUGGCCAGGAAGCUGGUGAUCCUGGAAGGUGAGCUGGAGCGCUCAGAAGAGAGAGUUGAGGUGGCUGAGAGCCAAACCAGACAGCUGGAGGAGGAACUUCGAACCGUGAACCAGGCCCUCAAGUCCUUGAUGGCCUCAGAGGAGGAGUAUUCCACCAAAGAAGAUAAAAUGAAGAGGAGAUCAAACUAGUGGAGGAGAAGCUGAAAGAGGCUAAGACCCGAGCAGAGUUUGCUGAAAGGUCUGUGGCAAAGUUGGAGAAAACCAUCGAUGACCUAGAAGAGAUCUUGGCCAAUGCCAAGGAGGAGAAUGUCGAGAUUCACCAGACCUUGGACCAGACCCUGCUGGAACUCAACAACCUGUGAGGGCUGGCCCCACCCCCAGCCAGGCUAUGGUUGCUGCCCCAACCCAAUAAAACUGAUGUUACCAGCUUCAAAAAAAAAAAAAA